AUGAAUGAAUGAAUGAAUGCCCCCCUAACAUAUACAGUGGCUAUACUGUUAACUUAAACUCUGGAUGAGUCCAUUUUUGAAUUGUCCCCCUUAACAAUCUAAUUUCCCCCCUAUGGGGCGUGGGCCCCACGUUGGGAAACACUAUUAUAGACAAAUUGUAUUAAAACGAAAGUAAUUUCUUAUGGUCUUCGUGCAAUUUGGUUAAACCAGUGCGAUCUGUUCUCUCAUUAAACGUCCAAAAAACUAGUUAGUUAAUCGAUCUAUAUAACUGACAUAUGUCAUACGCUCCAUACGUUUAAGUUGCAUUAUUCUUUGAAAUUAAUCAUUUUUAAUAUUUUAUUUUAAUAGAAGGGCCUAUCCCGUAUACGUUACUUAAUGUAAAUUUAGAAAACUGUAGUAAACCUGGAAGACAUUUUUUAAUAAACUUUUCAUACGACGGAACUUACGAAUAUAUUCAUUUAAAGCUUUUAAUUUACGGACAGUUCACUAAUACUUUUGACCUACCGAUAUUUAUCGACAAGAACUCACGUCUCCAUUAUAUGAUUGAAAAACUUGCUGAAAACUAUUAUUCCGUCUUUUGCAUCUUUCUUAUGAAGCACGAAGACAAGAAUUCGAUGAUAACUAUUCAGUUCAAGUAUCUUACAAAUAAUAUAAGGAUAUGCGACGUUGAACUUCUGUCAAGAAAAGGCAAUAGUAUUUUGAAUGAACUAGAAAUGAAUCCGAUAUCGGAGGAACAACUUGGAGAACGGCUACAAAAUACGGAAUCGGAUAUGUUUACUGCUGAACCGUGGAAUAGACAAUUAUACAAGAAGAAAUCAAAUCCAUUGCUGAAUGCUGCAACCCGAAUAAAGA
Long non-coding RNA from Centruroides sculpturatus (bark scorpion), 852 nucleotides. RefSeq lists it as uncharacterized. Lineage: Eukaryota; Metazoa; Arthropoda; Arachnida; Scorpiones; Buthidae. The record is from RefSeq and is a predicted model, not a curated record. The transcript has 4 exons.